Molecule: ribosomal RNA, 206 nt
Filed under: uncultured bacterium
Lineage: Bacteria
Description: partial 16S ribosomal RNA
Rfam family: Bacterial small subunit ribosomal RNA
Source: RNAcentral
CGGAUUGUAGUCUGCAACCCGACUACAUGAAGCUGGAAUCGCUGUAAUCGCGGAUCAGAAUGCCGCGGUGAAUACGUUCCCGGGUCUUGUACACACCGCCCGUCACACCAUGGGAGUCGGAAAUGCCCGAAGUCGGUGACCGAACCGAAAGGAAGGAGCCGCCGAAGGCAGGUCUGGUGACUGGGGUGAAGUCGUAACAAGGUAUC